GAUGAAGAACGUAGUGAAAUGCGAUAAGUAGUGUGAAUUGCAGAAUUCAGUGAAUCAUCGAAUCUUUGAACGCACAUUGCGCCCUUUGGUAUUCCUUAGGGCAUGCCUGUUCGAGCGUCAUUUAAACCUUCAAGCUCAGCUUGGUGUUGGGUGACUGUCCGCUUCACCGCGGACUCGCCUCAAAAUUAUUGGCGGCCGGUACAUUGGCUUCGAGCGCAGCAGAAACGCGAACUCGGGCCCGUCGUAUUGGCUCCCAGAAGCUAUCUUCACAAUUUUGACCUCGGAUCAGGUAGGGAUACCCGCUGAACUUAAGCAUAUCAAUAGCGGAGGA
RNAcentral lists this unclassified non-coding RNA (331 nucleotides) under soil metagenome. RNAcentral's name for it is "partial contains 5.8S ribosomal RNA, internal transcribed spacer 2, and large subunit ribosomal RNA". The stretch from base 1 to 120 matches the Rfam family "5.8S ribosomal RNA", at positions 35 to 154 of the family's 154-position model. The record is from RNAcentral.